This 480-nucleotide small RNA is filed under the name Pongo abelii (Sumatran orangutan). Its description in RNAcentral is "retained intron". Lineage: Eukaryota; Metazoa; Chordata; Mammalia; Primates; Hominidae. The record is from RNAcentral.
GGCCCUAUCCUCACAGCAAGUGGCAAAAACCCUGUAAUGGAGCUCAAUGAAAAAAGAAGAGGUCUCAAGUAUGAACUCAUCUCAGAGACUGGUGGAAGCCAUGACAAGCGCUUUGUAAUGGAGGUAGAAGUAGAUGGACAGAAAUUCAGAGGCGCAGGUCCAAAUAAGAAAGUGGCAAAGGCGAGUGCAGCUUUAGCUGCCUUGGAGAAACUGUUUUCUGGACCCAAUGCGGCAAAUAAUAAGAAAAAGAAGAUUAUCCCUCAGGUAUGAGUAAACAUUAAACCUUUGCAGAACCUGUGAAAAAUGUUACAGGAAUUAAAUUUUCCUUGCUGUCCAUGUGCCACUUUAGCUUUUUCUUGGACUUGGCGACCUUUGCUUUGGGUUAGGUCAUGAAUAAUAUAAAUCUGAUUAGUGGUUUCAUGUUCUAUGGACUUUCUAAACAAAAUAUAUAUGUACAUGUAUAUUUAUAUUUAUAUAUCU